This 253-nucleotide ribosomal RNA is filed under the name uncultured bacterium. RNAcentral's name for it is "partial 16S ribosomal RNA". It matches the Rfam family "Bacterial small subunit ribosomal RNA", at positions 524 to 776 of the family's 1533-position model. The record is from RNAcentral.
UACGGGGGGGGCAAGCGUUGUUCGGAAUUACUGGGCGUAAAGGGCUCGUAGGCGGCCAACUAAGUCAGACGUGAAAUCCCUCGGCUUAACCGGGGAACUGCGUCUGAUACUGGAUGGCUUGAGUGUGGGAGAGGGAUGCGGAAUUCCAGGUGUAGCGGUGAAAUGCGUAGAUAUCAGGAGGAACACCAAUGGCGAAGGCAGCUCGCUGGGACGGUACUGACGCUGAGGCGCGAAAGCGUGGGGAGCAAACAGG